CGGAUUGUAGUCUGCAACUCGACACAUGAAGCUGGAAUCGCUAGUAAUCGCAGAUCAGAAUGCUGCGGUGAAUACGUUCCCGGGUCUUGUACACACCGCCCGUCACACCAUGGGAGUCGGGAAUGCCCGAAGUCAGUGACCCAACCGCAAGGAGGGAGCUGCCGAAGGCAGGCUCGAUAACUGGGGUGAAGUCGUAACAAGGUACC
This 206-nucleotide ribosomal RNA is filed under the name uncultured bacterium. RNAcentral's name for it is "partial 16S ribosomal RNA". It matches the Rfam family "Bacterial small subunit ribosomal RNA", at positions 1294 to 1500 of the family's 1533-position model. The record is from RNAcentral.